RNAcentral lists this unclassified non-coding RNA (229 nucleotides) under plant metagenome. RNAcentral describes it as "partial contains small subunit ribosomal RNA, internal transcribed spacer 1, and 5.8S ribosomal RNA". The record is from RNAcentral.
UCUCCGUAGGUGAACCUGCGGAGGGAUCAUUACAGAGUUCAUGCCCUACCGGGUAGAUCUCCCACCCUAUGUUAUUAUUACUUUGUUGCUUUGGCGGGCCGUUAGGCUCCGGCCCGACUACCGGCCCCGGCUGGUAAGCGCCCGCCAGAGGACCCAAAACCCUGAAUAUUAGUGUCGUCUGAGGACUAUAUGAUAGUUAAAACUUUCAACAACGGAUCUCUUGGUUCUG